Molecule: long non-coding RNA, 2224 nt
Organism: Lotus japonicus
Lineage: Eukaryota; Viridiplantae; Streptophyta; Magnoliopsida; Fabales; Fabaceae
Exons: 12
Source: RefSeq, a predicted model, not a curated record
CCCUUUCACCUUACCUUCUUCCUUUUCUCCUUCUCUCACAGCCGUUUCACGAAAUUGAAAACGCAGACACAUUGCGUCUUUCAUUCUUCCUAUCCAUUAUAUGCACAAAUAGUCUCCGCUCUCCACAACAAAAAAUUACAAUUUCUUCCUGAUGCAUCCGCUCUGCAGAACCUUCUUCCCCUUUUCGUGGUUCUGAUCAUUCCUUCUCAGAAAGACUCCUGUGGCUGCGACAUGAAUCACCAUCUUCCAUCCCGUAGGCUCCGUUUCUCACAGGUUUUUUUAUUUUUUGAAUUUUUGUUUCGUUUCAGUGUUGUAACGGAGACAAGGGAUUCUUUGGAGGGUUCGAAUCAGAGUAGGGUUAUGAUCUCAUGAGUAGUUAUGCGAACAAACAGAGACAAGGGAUUUUUUGGAGGGUUCGAAUCAGACUACGGAAGGUGGUCUGCUCCGUUUGGAAGACGGCUGAGGUUUGGCACCGGACAUUGUUCCUUAAAUGGUGGCUGCUGGCUGGGUGCUCACUAGAUUGAUCUUGAUUGUGAUUCACUAGCUUUGCAGAAAUCAAAGGAACGGUACUGGAAUUUCUCUCCCUCUCUCUUUAUUAUCCCUGAAAGGGCCAGACUUUUUUGUAUAUUUGGUCUUAAAUUUCUCUUCCUAUAGAAAAAGCAGUUUGCUCCCAAAUACAUAAUUGGUUUUUUGGUUUUCCUUUGCUGUUUUUGUUGAAGCAUGAGGCAAACUGUCUCUGGAAUUUCAGAUUCAUGAAUGGCUAUAUGAUAUGGGUAAUUUGCUGUUGUUGGUUUCCCUUUCACGCUUUAGAUGAGGCUAGAAGUUAUGAAAUAAAGUGAAUAGGUGACUUGCCCACCAAAGGUUUAGGAGUUUUCCACAAUUUAAAGCUUUUAGAUGAUGAGAUGGGGACUGAGAUUAGUUUAUACUCUUCUUCUUCAAGUUGAAAGAAAUCAUAAAUCAUGACUUCCCCAGGUGGUGCUUAUCGAAAACUCUUCACAGCUAGACAUGCUAAAGGCAUUGGUUAGAUAAGAAACUGGGAAUAAAGGGAAUUCAAACAUGCUAUAACAUGCUCAAGGCAUUGGCUAGAGAAGAGUGUGGGUAUCAAGGGAAUUCAAACAUGUUAUAAGUGAUGGAGAAUUUGUAGGCUGAGACUUGGAUAUGCUAUUGCAAGGCCUCUGCCUCAGCCUUUACCCGCCUGCAAUCUGCCCUCCGUUGUUUCCCACUUCCGGACCCGGCUGCCAUCUGUUCUCCUCCAAGGCCAAGGAUGCCUUAUGCUCUCCUGCAACGCUAAGACACCAAGCUCUAAUUGGAUUCCGCUCUAUUUGAACUAAAGAGGUUCAUAACCGGAUGAAGAGUGUGAAGAAUAUCCAAAAAUCACCAAGGAAUGAAGAUGGUUGCUGCUCCCAAGCUACAAUUCAUAACCGGAUGAAGAGUGUGAAGAAUAUCCAAAAAAACGCGAAGGAGUGAAGAUGGUUUCUGCUUCCAAACUACAAAGUAACACACAGUGAUGAAAUUAAUGGAGGAUUGGAAAAAAAAAAGACUGAUAGGGAGAAAGAUUGGAUUGCUUCACAAAGCAAUUCAGUUUAUAAGAAAUGUGAUAAUAAACCUGAUGAGACAAUGGCUUGGAAGGACAACAGAUGAAGUGUGUUGUGUUCACAUCUCUUUAUCGGAGCCCUAAAAUUAUGAAACUGAAACCAUGUUUACUUUCAAGAGGUGCUGAAGCUUGAAAUGUUUCUCAUGUUUGUCCUAUUGAAAGAGAUCAUAAUAUUAAAGUCCCAAGGAAAACUAAACAAAGAAACUAAUGCUCUUCCCUGUCCAAAGACAGGAGAUGCAACACCAUCCUAGGGGGAACAACAAGCUCAGUAAAUGGACAUUGCAUAGAUGCUCCCAAUCCCGCUAGACAAUCCGUCGGUUCAUUGCCCUCUCGAGGAACAUGAGUAAUAGAAACCUCCCAAGCCCUUGAGAGCAGCAACUGAAUUUCCAACAAAGCACUCAUGUAUCUAUGGAACUGGAACUUAUUCAACUUUUGUUUGAGUAGCUGAAAUAAUAAUUAAGAUUCUAAAAGAUUAUAUAUGAGUGCCAUUAACUAUCAGAUGAAGUGUAACAGCUACAUGGAAUUGAUAAAUGCAAUCUAUGACUAAUUAAACGUGACAUAUGCAAUAAUGCAUUGGAACGUUAAGUAUAGAUAGGCAAAUAAAAAGGCUUCUAAAAGAUUAUAUAUGAA